Molecule: ribosomal RNA, 253 nt
Filed under: uncultured bacterium
Lineage: Bacteria
Description: partial 16S ribosomal RNA
Rfam family: Bacterial small subunit ribosomal RNA
Source: RNAcentral
GACGUAGGGGGCCAGCGUUGUUCGGAAUUACUGGGUGUAAAGGGUUCGUAGGCGGUGCGGCAAGUUGGGAGUGAAAUCUCUGGGCUUAACCCAGAGGCUGCUUCCAAAACUGCUGUGCUUGAGUGUGGGAGAGGCGCGUGGAAUUGCAGGUGUAGCGGUGAAAUGCGCAGAUAUCAGGAAGAACACCCGUGGCUAAGGCGGCUCUCUAGUACGGUACUGACGCUGAGACGCGAAAGCGUGGGGAGCGAACAGG